Molecule: ribosomal RNA, 253 nt
Filed under: uncultured bacterium
Lineage: Bacteria
Description: partial 16S ribosomal RNA
Rfam family: Bacterial small subunit ribosomal RNA
Source: RNAcentral
UACAGAGGGGGCAAGCGUUAUUCGGAAUUAUUGGGCGUAAAGGGCGCGUAGGCGGCUUGGCAAGUGGAUGGUGAAAUCCCUCGGCUUAACCGAGGAACUGCCGUCCAAACUGCUUCGCUUGAGACCGGGAGAGGUGAGUGGAAUUCCCAGUGUAGCGGUGAAAUGCGUAGAUAUUGGGAGGAACACCAGUGGCGAAGGCGGCUCACUGGACCGGUACUGACGCUGAUGCGCGAAAGCGCGGGGAGCAAACGGG